Molecule: long non-coding RNA, 323 nt
Filed under: Bemisia tabaci
Lineage: Eukaryota; Metazoa; Arthropoda; Insecta; Hemiptera; Aleyrodidae
Description: lncRNA ENSSSA2NGG009694
Source: RNAcentral
ACAAGCUACUCACAUGCAUUUCAUGGUGCAUAACUGCUCCGCAUAAAAUCAGUGAAAAUUGAUGUUCUCUCGCGGUGUUGCCAGAUUUUUCCCCCAUGGACGUCCAUAUUGUCGGGGAUAUUGCAAACUGCCUACCUAGUCCAAGUAAUCGACGCGAAAUCAAUGAUGAGAAUGACAGAGAAUUAAAGACCUUCUGGUAUCUCAGGUUAGGAGCCCAUGAACCAUUCAUAUUCUCAAUAAGUCACAGAUCGACAAAAAUGACAAUCUGGCGAAAGCUAAAUUUCGAUCGGAGGAAGAGCUACGGGGUGGUUAUUAAAAAAUAA